AAGACUAUAGACCUGCGGAGUACCUGCGGAAGGAUCAUUAAAGAAUGAACUCGGGUCAAUGCUGAUUGCUGGUCCUUAGGGACAUGUGCACGCUUGGCUCUUGUUUUUCAACCACCUGUGCACUUUUUGUAGAUUUGGAGAAUCAACCUUGGUUGGAUUGGAGGAUUGACAAUUAAUUUGUUCAUUGCUCUGAAGGCUCCGGUCUAUGUUUUUAUAUAUACCAUUUGAUUGUUAUUGGAA
This 240-nucleotide unclassified non-coding RNA is filed under the name soil metagenome. Its description in RNAcentral is "partial contains 5.8S ribosomal RNA, internal transcribed spacer 2, and large subunit ribosomal RNA". The record is from RNAcentral.